RNAcentral lists this long non-coding RNA (9538 nucleotides) under Marmota monax (woodchuck). The record is from RNAcentral. Lineage: Eukaryota; Metazoa; Chordata; Mammalia; Rodentia; Sciuridae.
GAAUGGGAUACGUCAGUGUGCAUGGUAAUGUAAGAAAUUUCCGGGGUCUGUGAAAAUAGGGGAAUCGGUGGUGGAGUUUCAGGCUUCUGAAGCCUACGAUGUGCGGGCGGACCUAGUUUCUUGCAGGGGAGCUAAGGGUCAGAUCUUUAUCUGUUGAGGUAAAGGAGAUCUGUGGGUUUUACAAGUAUAAGUAUUAAUACGGGGUUAGGGGGGUCUGCAAUUGCUAGGGAAAGUGGGUGUUUCCCCUUGUACAGGUGUUGAGUGAAGUUUGUGACUAUUACAGAUGUUCUGAAGUUUAAUUAGCCCUUAAGUCCUCUUCUCGCCUACCUAGUUAUAGCAAGGUAGCGAGACGCUUCCCAGAUACCGAUAGAUGGCAGCACAGGACUCUUGCAAAACAGCCUAGACAGCAGAUUUGGGGCUUCUUGAAGGAGCCAACCGGGAAGAGGGUCGGGAUCCAACCUACUCAAGUUCUGAGGUUCUGAAAGUCUCAGAUUCUUUUGGUUCUGUGACUUUCUAUGAGUAUUUAACUUAAACUGCUGGUCUAAGCGUCAAUAGUGUGCCAGGCGCAAAAAAGAAAGAAAAAGGCAUUUCUCUGCCCUUAAGGAAUUUUUUGUUUAGACAGAACGUUAUCUAUAGAUAAAGCCGGAAGGGUUUUAUGUGUGAAAAAAGCAUAGGGUUUGAAAUCACCUGUGUUGCUUUCCGAACUUUGGGUAUUUGCUUGUGGGUAGAUUAAAUUUUUUUUAAUAAACUCUAAAUUUUAGAACAAUUUUAGAUUUACAGAAAAUUUGUGAAGAAAGCAUAGAGUUUCCAUAUACACUCCAAUUCAGUUUCCCCUAUUAUAGGUUCAUUUGUCAUAAUUAAUGAACCAAGCCGAGUGCGGUUGUGCACUACUCUAAUAACAGUGACUCUGGAGGCUGGAGGCAGAAAGAUCACAAGUUCUAUGGAAGCCUGAAUAACUUUAGUGAGCCCCUCAGUAACUGUUAUGGUUUGGAUAUUAGGGGUCUCCCUGGAAGCUCAGUAUUAAUGCAGGAAUGUUCUUAGGUGAAAUGACUGAAUUGUGAGAGCUGUAACCUUUUCAGUUCAUCCCAGUUUGAAUAGAUCAACUGGGUGCUAACUGUAGCCAGGUGGAGGAGGUGGGUCGUUGGUAGCAUGUGGUGGAAGGGUUCAUCUUCCUUGCAGCGCCUUCUCUGCUUCCUGGCCAUCAUGAACAGAGCAGUGCUCCACCAUUAAGCCUUUCUGCCUCAUCUUGGGCCUAGAGCGAGGUAGUCAAGGACAUGAACUAACCCUCUGAAACUGUGAGCCAAAAUAUACUUUUCUUCUUCUAAAUAGUAUUACCUUUAAGUCUAUAUUUUAUUAAAAUUUCCUUUGUUUUGCUGGGUACAGUGGCACAGGCCUGUAAUCCCAUGGCUUGGGAGGCUAAGUCAGGAGGAUAUUGAGUUCAAAACGAGCCUGAGUAGCUUAGUGAGGCUCUAAGCAACUCAGCAAGACCCUGUCUCUAAAAUUAAAAAUAUAUGUAUAAAAAAAGACCUGGGGAUAUGGCUCAGUGGUUAAAAAAAAAAGAAUUUCCUUUAUUUUUACUGUAUGUCCUUUUUCUUUGCCAGGAUCCCACCCAGGCUAGCAAACAUUACAGUAUGUGGCUAUCAUGUCUCCUUAGUCACAGUCUCUCAGACUUCCUUGGUUUUGAUGACCUUGAGAAUUUUGAUGAGUACUGGUCAAGAAUUUUGUAGAUGGUCCUUCAAUGGGCAUUUGUCUGUUUUUCUCAUGAUUAUGUUACAGAGCUGGGACCUUCUCAGAAACUGAGGCAGUGCAAAGGCCCCCACUUCAACCUGUAAUUCUUUGGAUCAAAUCAGAAAGAUGUCAAACAUAUUGCUCAGAGUAAGUCAUAUGUUUAUUAGAAGGGAUAGGAAAGGGGAAAGGGGUACACUUUCAAGGAUGAGUGUGGAUUCUCUGAGAGAGGAGAGGAACAAAGUGCCUCUCCUGCCCUCCAGUUUUUUGAGGGUCCCAAGAAGUUUCUAGACACUCCCACACAGGUUCACCUCUUGAUUUUUGACUGACAGCAAGAUGACAUCACACUUUUAAGUCCCUACUGCCAUGACCUUUCUAGGUCACUUUGGUUCAUGCUGACUGGUUCUAAUUGGAACCUGUUCGUAGGGGAGGAAUUAUCCUUAUCUCCCUGAAUUCAGGUGUUUGGUCUGUGAAAGGGUCAUAAAAGUCCCCCUCCACCCUUUAGGGUAACUUGUGUUCUUAUAGACAUUAGGUUUUUUUUUUUUUUUUUUAGUCCUUUAAUUUUUUUAUUGUCGUUGAUGAACCUUUAUUUUAUUCAUUUAUUUAUAUGUGAUGCUGAGAAUCAAACCAAGUGCCGCACAAAUGUGAGGCAAGUGAUCUAUCACUGAGCCACAACCCCAGCCCCCUUAUAGACAUUAUUUCAGGCCUGUAUUUCUCUUACAGAUAACAAGUAGUUUGCUGAGGAAUGUGCCAUAUCCUGUUCACUUAAACCAGGCAGAGCUGCAGAUAAAUUGCUUCUUGGAAAAGAAAGCAUGGGGAUGUCAGCACAGUAGGCUCAUUUUAUAGAAUUAUUCACUUAACUUCAUGUUCCCACCACUCAGAUCUGUCUGUCCCAUAUCAAUUAGACUGGGGUUAUGAGUUUUGUGGAGACCACAAAGGUAAAAGUAUUACUUUUAUUACAUCAUCACAUCAUGUCACAUCAUAGAGGUAAAGUGCCAGUGUCUGUGGUGUAUAUAUGGUAUAUUUGGAAACACAGACAAUAUACUUUGUGUUGCAAUCUUUUUUAUUUUGGAACAAAAAUUUAAGGGUGUAGUUUUAAAAAAUCUCUUAAUUAGUUAUCUUGUAUAUUCAAAUAUAUAUUUAUAACAUAAGCCGCACUUUUUUUUUUUUUUUUUUUUUUGGUGGUGGUACUGGGGAUCAAACCUAGGGGUGCUUUACCACUGGGAUACAUUCCCUAACCUUUUUUAUUUUUUCUAUUUUGAUACAGGGUCUUGCUAAAUUGCUGAAGCUGAUCUUGAACUUUAAUCCUCCUGCCUCAUCCUGUUGAGUUGCUAGAAUUACAAACAUGCACCAUCUGGCCCAGCACAAUUUCUUUUUCAUAAUAUUUUCAAAAUUGUAAUUGACACAUAAUCAAUUUCUUUCUUCCUUCCUUCUUCUUUCCUUCCUUCCUUCCUUUCUUUCCUUCUUUCCUUCCUCCUCCCUUCCUUUCUUUCUUUCUAUGUGUGGCACUUGAAAUUGAACCACCCAGGGUCUCAUAUGUGCUAGGCAAAGGCUCUACCAUUGAGCUACAUCCCCAGCCCUUUAUAUUUUAUUUUGAAACAGGGACUUGCUAAAUUGCUCAGGCUGGUCUUGAAUUUUCAAUCCUCCUGCCUCAGCCUCCCUAAUCUCAGGGAUUAUAGACAAGUUGCCACCAUAUCCAGAGAAGAAUAAGAAGAAGGAGAAGAAAUAUACUAGGCAUACAGAAAGUUAUAAAGAAUAGCCGAGGGGCUGGGGUUAUGGCUCAUCAGUAGAGUACUCACCUAGCAUGUGCCAGGCCCUGGGUUUGAUCCUUGGCACCACGUAAAAAUAAAUAAAAUAAAGGUAUCGUGUCUAACUACAACUAAAAAAUAAAUAUUAAAACAAAAAAGAAUAGCCAAGCAUUGUAGUGCCCACCUAUAAUCCUAGUGAUGUGGGAGGCUAUGGCAGAAGGGUCCCAAAUUUGAGGCCAGCUACAGCCAUUUUGCAAAAACAACAACCACAAAAAAUUAUAAAGAAUACUAAAAUUUAAAAAAAACAAGAAAAAAAAAUUUAUCACAGAUUUAUCAAAUCUUAGUUUCUAAAUUUCUUUUCAUUUUUUUGUAGUUAUAGAUGGACAGAAUGCUUUUAUUUUGUUUAUGCAGUGCUAAGGAUCAAGCCCAGUGCCUCACAUAUGCCAGACUAGUGUUCUGCCACUGAGUUAUAGCCCCAGCCCAGAUCUUAGUAUUUUAUCACAUUUGCUUUAAAUUCUUUUUUUUUUUAAGAUAGAGAGAGGAGAGAGAGAGAGAAUUUUUUUAAUAUUUAUUUUUUAGUUUUCAGCGGACACAACAUCUUUGUUUGUAUGUGGUGCUGAGAAUCGAACCUGGGCCGCACGCAUGCCAGGCGUGCACGCUACCGCUUGAGCCACAUCCCCAGCCCAACUUUAAAUUCUCUUUUAUUUAUUUAUUUAUUUAUUUUGAGAUUGAACACUACUGUUUUUUUUUAUUGGUUGUUCAAAACAUUACAAAGCUCUUGACAUAUUUCAUACAUUAGAUUCAAGUGGGUUAUGAACUCCCAUUUUACAGCAGAUGGGGUAGAGAGAGAAGAUGGGAGGAGAGGGGAGGGGGUAUAGUAAAGGAUAGGAAAGGUAGCAGAAUACAACAGUUACUAAUAUGGCAUUAUGUAAAAAUGUGGAUGUGUAACCGAUGUGAUUCUGCAAUUUGUAUUUAAAUUCUCUUUUAAAGAAAUCAGCGAAGCUAGGAGCUUUGGCCUUUGCCUGUAGCCCCAGCAACUCCACAGGCCGAGGCAAGAGGGUGGCAAGUUCCAGGCCAGCCUAAGCAAUUUAGAAAGCCCCUCAUAAACUUAUCGAGACCCUGCUCAAACAAAAAAAUAAAAAGUGUUGGUGAUGUAGCUCAGUGGUAAAGUGCCCCUGGGUUCAAUCCCCAGAACUACAGAAAAAUGGAUAAAUAAAUAAAUAAGAUUAAAGAAAUUAGUAUUUCAGAUCAAGUUAAACCCUUUAAGUACUCCUCCCUGGUCUCUUUCCUAUCAUUUUUCACCUUCUGUCUGAGAAAUAACUACUAUCCCAAAUUGGUAUUUAUUUUGUUUAUGUACUUAAACAAUUUUAUUGCUUAAUAUACACAUAAGUCUAUUGAAACAUAGCCCCCCUUUGAAAUUAAAAUCUCCAAAUUGUUUUAACUUCUGAACUUCCUCAUACUGAGAAUGGAUGUUGAGGGAGGCUGGCCUUAAGGGGCACCUGGGAACCUGAGAGAGUGACACAUUUCCUAGCUAAAUCUAUACAUGUAUGUUUCCUACCUUUUGUCCCACUGUGCCCCUGAGUCUGAUAAGACAGAGAAUUGAAAAAGGGAAAAGUCUCUUUUAUAUUUCUUGAAGCCAGCUUUUUUUUUCCCCUUGCCAAAACUGCCUCCUGAGUUUUUAGUGGAGUAGAACAAGGAGUCAAAUCUCUUGCCCCCUCUUUCACAUUGGGCAUAAACCUGUUGACAGAAUUGCUGAGUCACAGGGCAUGUGUAAGCUCAGCUUCAGUAGAUGUUGUAUUGUAGGGACAGAGGAGGCAAGGCGCUGAAGAUAGCAGGAAACAGUUUUAUUUGGCUGCAGCCAGGCUCAGAGGGCACAGCUUUUGCUGUAAUCAAUUAAUCUCCUGAACCCUGAGUUCAGGUAGUUUCAGAGUUUUAUACCCAGCAUGUAAGGGGAGGGGCUCAGAAGUUCACAUAAAAGCAGCUUUUUUUUUUUUUUUCCCACUGUUUUGGGCAAGUUAACCCUUCAAGGACAACAUCUAAGAAAGGGAGAGCUUCCUCCCCUUUCUUUCCUCCCCCUGCCCAUUGUUACCAUGGAGCUCAGUUGGUAACUUACCUUUAAAAUGUAGACAUCUUUGUGAAGUCCCAGCUCAAGGCCAGAGGCCUUGUUUGCACAUUUCUACAAACGACUAUACUGGAUAUAUUUGUGAAAAACUAGUAAGGGGAUGUCCAGCACCUGGAGUUCUGGUAUCUUCCCUGCCAAUGGCCAAGUAAAACUGGGCGACAUGAAAAUAGGAAGUUUAUCUACAUUGAACUCUUUUGCAUAGACUCUUUUGCUGACAUUCCUAAAAUCAGACAUGGUGAAGAUUUCUAGAGAAGCUCAGUUAAGACUUUUCUGUGGAGAAAGGGGGUGCCACUUCAGUUGCCCACAUAUUUUCUGAAGAGAUUGUAAUAGUUCCAACUCCUAUAGCAAUAUAUAAGAGGUCUAGAUACUGCACAUCCUUGCAAACUAUUUUUUAACUUUUUUGGGGAGGUGGGGUUCAAUGGGGAUUGAACCCAGGGCCUUGCACUGUAGUGGCACUCCCUCCUCCACAGAAAAAUCUUAAUUAAGCUUCUCUAGGGACCCUCACCAAAUCUAUUCUUAGACUAUCAGCAAGAAUUUCUGCAAAAAUUUCUGCAAAAAAAGUUUUCAGGUGGGAAGUGUGUUUCCAGUAGACUGUGAUAAGGCAGUCUAGUCCAGCCAGGAGCUUUCACAAAGGCAUUCGCAUUUCAAAGGAUAGAAGUUAGAUCCUAGGGAUCUAACUUUACAGUCCACAAGAUAGGAGUAAAUGGUACAAAUCAGGUUCCUUGGAAACCAGCUUGGUGGUAGUGUGUGUGUGUGUGUGGGGGGGGGAACCUCUUCCUUUCCUAGGCACUGGUUUUUACAGAGGGUGUCCUUGAUUUAUUUUCCAGGCCUGGGUUGAUUGCCCAGAAUAGUAGGAAAAAACUACUUUUAUGUGGACUUCUGCAGAUUGUGAGCCUCUGAGCUCUUUCUUCCCCUACACACUGGGUAUAAAGUUCUAAGCAUUUCUGAACUCAGGGUUCAGAGGGACAAACUGGUUUAGGCAAAAGCCAUCUCUGGACCUGGCUACAGCCAAUAAACCUGCUUCCUGCUAAUUCCUAGGUGUCCAGCUUUGUCUGUCCUAUAACAGCAAUGCUAGGCAAGCGCUCUAUAAUUGAUCUAUAUCCUCAGCCUACAUCCUUGAAAACUCUGAUGAUGAUCUUUUUAAUUUCAGUUAUUUUGAUGAAUCUCAGUGAGGCAUUAAUUGUAUUUCUGUGAUUUCUACUGAAGUCAAGCACUUUUUUUUUUUUAAUCAGUGUCAAUUGGUUAUCUUGUGUUAUAUGUCAUGUUAUCUUCUGUGAGAAACAGAAAUUCUGGUGGUCCAUUUUCAGAAUAUAGUAUUUAGCCUUAACUGGGAUGUAACAUCCAAUUGAAACUGGUCUUGAAAAUCAGGAUAAGGUCCUUAACCCCCCUCCCACCCCUCCCACAACACACACACACACACACACACACACACUGACGAUUAAACACCUGAGAAAUGCUAAGGCAAGAGCAAAAAGUUUUGUGUAAAGGAUAAGAGAGAGAGAGAGAGAUAUUCCUCCAGAGAGGAGAGAGUCCAGAGCUGGUGCCCAAGGAAGUAGGGGUGUCUUGCCCCUUUUAUAGAUUUCAGGUUUCCUUUCUCCUCAUGCUUCCUCCUCACAUCCUGCCUACGUGACCAAAAGGGCAGGAAGAGAGUUAUCUGGGGAGUGAUUGCUUGUGCUGGAAAACGUGAUCCUUCACCUUCCCCAGAGGUUGUUAGCAACCAGAUGAUGGGGAGUGCUAUCUACUCAUUAACUUUUUCUUGGUACCUGUCCUUUGCAGCUAUCUGUUCAUUGUCCUGCUCUCACAAUCAUAGUCAUGUUAACUAUACCCCUUUGCCCUCCCCAAUUUUAAAAUUAGCCCAUUGCAUAGAUUGUUACCCCAAGCUCUUCCUAUCAGAGCAUGGGACAGUGCUGCCUUAGGGAUAAAAAUAGGUGGACUGUCCACCAAAGUGUACUUCCUUUCAGACUUUGUUUAGUAGCACACCUUCUGCAGAAGGUGUUUGCCUUGCCAAGGUUGUUGUUGUUGUUAUUCUUCUUCUUUUUUAAUUAGGUAUAUAUGACAGCAGAAUGCAUUUUGAUUUCAUUGUAUACAAUUGCAGCACAACUGUACAUUUCUAUGGUUGUAUACUAUGUAGCUGGUCAUACCAUAUGUGCAGUCAUACAUUGUACCUAGGGUAAUAAUGUCCAUCUCAUUCCACCAUCUUUCCUACCUCCAUUUCCCCCCACCCCUACCUCCCCUUUGCCCCAUCAAAGUUCCUCCAUUUUUCCCAUCCCCCCCCAGAGAGAACAUUUUGCCAAGGUACUUCUGAGCAUGUGUUUGAUUUCUUGCAGUACCCAGUAUUUCUAACAAUUUUGGCGUCCAACAUGGGGCUCCAUACAUUGCCUAGGGGAUUGUGAGUACUCCCUCUUUAGAGGACAAACCUGCUAGCUUGUUGUGGUGGCCUUGGAGUGGGGGAGGAAACCUGCAAUCCCUGAGGCUGACAACAGACCCCAAAUUGAAAGUGGAUCAGCAACCCAGGGAAAGAGCCUAAGGAAGCACCACGGUGACUAGGUAACCCCGUGCACAGACCAAGGUAGAAAAAUCUAUUCUUGAGAAAGACGUGGUGGUCAGGACAUCUUGGAGGUUGAGAGGGUGUUGCAAGAAACUUCCAGUGGGGGGUUCAGCCCCCCCACCAAAAAAAAAUAAAAAACCUCUAAAACUGUAGUGUAGAAAAAGAGAAUGCUGGCAAGGGAAAAGACACCCAAAUUUCCCCAGAUGCCCCUUUGGGUCUUAUGUUAAAAUAUUGGAAAGAUAGUCCUAGGACAAAAGGGAAGAAGAAACCAAAGAUGAUAAAAUACUGUUGUUUUUAUUUGGACUCAUUAAGCAUGUAAGGAGUUUGGGGUAUACAAUAAAUCUCCAGAAAAAAAUUCUAGGCCUAGGGACAGGGAGGGAAAAUGAAAAGCACAGGCCCAUCCUAUGUCUGAGUCAUACUGUAAAAAGCUGUAACGGGCUGUAUUUUAAUUUCUAAAGGGUUAAAUCUCACCUGUAAGGAUUUAAUACCUGGUAAACAGCUACCAAAUCUUUGUUUCAUCUCAGUUUUAUGUACACUUCAACAUACCUGUGUUAUUGUAUGUCAUGUUUAUAUACAUGCUUGUGUCUAUAUCUUGUACAUGGUAUCAAAAUUGGUUUAUAGAUAAAUGAGUUCUCAUAAAUUUAAUACAUGGAUCCAAGUCCCUUUCAGUUUAUGUGACUUAAAUAAAACUAACAAAUAAGAGUCAAUUUAAAUUGGUAAGAGUAAAGAUGCUAUUGAAAUCACUAAUCCACAUAUUUUUCUAGGUGGCAAACCAACCAAAGUGUUGGUUUCUAUAAAAUGUUUAAAGUGCAAUGUCUGUUGCUUCUAAGGAUUUUUCUUUGGCAGGAAUAAAUCUAGUUAAAUUAUUAACUAGGCUUGUUUGAUAGCUUGGUUUUCAUGGGUAACCUAAGAUAGAAAUGGGUAAAUUGGGUUUUUAAAAAUAUUUAUUUUUUAGGUGUAGUUGGACACAAUACCUUUAUUUAAUUUAUUUAUUUUUAUGUGGUGCUGAGGAUCGAACCCAAGGCCCUGAAUGUGCUAGGCAAGUGCUCUACCACUGAGCUACAACCCAAGCCCUGGUAAAUUAGUUUUUGUGUGUGUGUGUGUAUGUGUAUGUGGUGCUGGGGAUUGAAUCCAGGGCCUUGUGCAAGCGAGGCAAGUGCUCUACCAACUGAGCUAUAUCCCCAGCCCCCUUAGUUUUUAACAUAAAUAGAAUUAAUCUUCAGAAAUGUGUUAGAAGAGACAUCUGAGCCAGGAGUGGUGUCGCAUGCCUGUAAUCCCAGCAGCUUGGGAAGCUAAGGCAAGAGGAUCACACGUUCAAAACCAGCCUCAGCAACAGCAAGGUGCUUAGCAACUCGUUGAGACCCUGUCGCUAAAUAAAAUUCAAAAUAGGGUUGG